Molecule: transfer RNA, 73 nt
Organism: Hyphomicrobium nitrativorans NL23
Lineage: Bacteria; Pseudomonadati; Pseudomonadota; Alphaproteobacteria; Hyphomicrobiales; Hyphomicrobiaceae
Rfam family: tRNA
About the family: Transfer RNA (tRNA) molecules are approximately 80 nucleotides in length. Their secondary structure includes four short double-helical elements and three loops (D, anti-codon, and T loops). Further hydrogen bonds mediate the characteristic L-shaped molecular structure. tRNAs have two regions of fundamental functional importance: the anti-codon, which is responsible for specific mRNA codon recognition, and the 3' end, to which the tRNAs corresponding amino acid is attached (by aminoacyl-tRNA synthetases). tRNAs cope with the degeneracy of the genetic code in two manners: having more than one tRNA (with a specific anti-codon) for a particular amino acid; and 'wobble' base-pairing, i.e. permitting non-standard base-pairing at the 3rd anti-codon position.
Source: Rfam
GGGUGAUUAGCUCAGUUGGUAGAGCAGCUGACUCUUAAUCAGCGGGUCGAAGGUUCGAAUCCUUCAUCACCCA